RNAcentral lists this non-coding RNA (92 nucleotides) under Pseudonocardia benzenivorans CB1190. RNAcentral describes it as "Pseudonocardia dioxanivorans CB1190 SAM riboswitch aptamer (S box leader)". It matches the Rfam family "SAM riboswitch aptamer (S box leader)". Rfam says of the family: The SAM riboswitch is found upstream of a number of genes which code for proteins involved in methionine or cysteine biosynthesis in Gram-positive bacteria. Lineage: Bacteria; Bacillati; Actinomycetota; Actinomycetes; Pseudonocardiales; Pseudonocardiaceae. The record is from Rfam by way of RNAcentral.
CGUCCAUCCAGAGCGGCCGAGAGACCGGGCUCGUCGACGUCGCAGCAACCACGCGCCACCGCGCGGGGUGCUAACGCCCGGAACGAUGGGAG